UAGAUCUGAUUCUUCGUUCUCCUUCUCUUAAACUCCGCCGCUCCAUAACCCUAACUCUCAAUUCGCCAUGGAGGAUGCCUAUCUGACCAGUGUAUGUUGACCCGCUAUAUUUUGACUCAUCUACGUUAUUUUCCAAAACCCUAGACAGCCUUCCUUUUCCAUUCUGCUUCAUCUCCAUUCUGGUUCACGCAUAUGCAUUCGAACGAUUCAAGCAUCAGGUAUGUUUAAACAUAAUCUCGUGUCAUCUCUGCCUCUUGAUUAUAUAUUUCGACGAAAACCCUAACCAGAGCCACUAUCACGCGACUGACAAAGAACUUGAACACUACGAAUUUCAUGGGUGGUGAUUUCCACGGGUUUUGGUUACAUUUGGUAAUGAAUGAAGAAAAAGAGGAAUCAUUGUCCUUCCGGCUACUCAAUUGGAUGAAGUUGUUCACGCUUCUCUAAGGUCACAUCUAAGAAAGAGGAUGCAACGAGGUUGGCUCAGAUGUAGAAUAAAAUAAUUACAAUUUUAUGGGAUAAAGGUUUGAUUAAUAAUAGGGAAAUAUACCUAUGACUCAUUCCAUGCUCAUCGGAUCCAUAGUGGCGCUACAUGUACUGACGCCGAAGACAACAACGGUAACUACAGUGGCGCAACAUGUCCGCCUGUUUCGUAUUUGUUCAGCAACCCAGCAUCCCACAGAAAGCAUCUAAACGCCGUCACACACAGUUGCCUUUAAAGAAGGUAACAAACUGACAUCUUAAACUGAUGUUAAACUUCUUUGUUUGGAGAAAUUAUGCGAAGUGAUUAGGAUUGUAAAUAGGGGAUACCGUGUUGGUGGCAGUAGAUUGAUAUGUUGUUGUGGUGAUGAUAAAGAUGAAAAGUGUUGAGUGUUUACUAAAUCUCCUGAGACUUUGCUCAAUGGUAAUUCUAAUUAAUUCACAUUUUCAUGUACAUGUAUUUUUUUGCUGAAUUUUUGUACUUGUGUAGAUUGUAGACUAACGCCAUCAUCUUAAAAAUAAAUGUUCAAAACUGUUUUCUUCAUUGAAGCAGUUUAUGGUUUGCAAAGAAUAGAAACCUUAGAAGUCUAUGUGUGGAGAUAGGUAUGCCUAUGCUUAAGCCAGUUAUUGUUUUUGAAGUCAGGACCCUAAGAGAUUCCAUAGGGUGCAGUUGGAGCUGAGUUUGUAAUAGUUUCUGGUGAUUAAUGGUAGAUUUGGCAUUGUUGGGCUACCGAGGUAUUGUGGGAGGUCGAAAGAGCUUGGGAAGUCUUAAAAAUCAAGGGUUUUUGCGAGUGUUUUGAAAAGAAAAAAGAGAUAAUUGGUACGGACCCCUUCUAUCGGACCUUCAUGUGGAUGAUUUUGUCCAGGAGCGGCUUCAACUUAAAAAUGUGAAAUUAUACAACCUGGCAGAAAUAAAUCCUUUGGUAGGUAUUUGAUACUUCAUAUUAUAGGUGUAAAUACUCUAUGGCAGGUAAUUAAAUGUUGUUUUAUGGUAUGCAAAAGACUAACGCGAAUAACCCCGCCGCAACAUAAUUCUAAUUUGUAGCAACAUAAAAAACUCACUACUUCUUACUAUGAUUUUUAUAGAUGUUGAAGGCCUCACCAUGAUAACAACUCAAAUGUCCGCUACCGGACUCCACAAAUGCGUUUCUUUUUCUCAACGCAAUGGAUUCCCUGAAUGCAUAGCUUUUUUUGUAAUGCAAAGCUAGCAGGCUAUUGUAAGAAAUAAUAUUUUAACAGUGUGAAACACCACGCUUCUAAAACGCUAUGUAGGUUAAUCUCCGAUGCUCUAUUAUCUAUUUCUAUUAUGUAUAACAAAUGAAAAUAAGGCUAGACAUGUGGCGUAUUUUUAAGGCAUCUCCAUUGUGAUUUUGGCACACUUUUUUUAUGUUUGUUUUAAACAGAGGGUUAUGAUUAGUGUUUUUAAAAGAACAUUAUCUGAUGUAUCACAAAGGCUGUUAUCACUUUAUGAGAACAUAAGAAGAAGAUUAUGUGAGCCUCUGAUACAAAAAUAAUCAUGAAAAAACUACAGAAACAAAGGAGACUUUUCUAACCUCCUGGGGAAUAACUUAAGACGCGAAUAAGGAGAUUUUUGAAUCUGAUGAGAUUAAGGUUGUUUCUGAAUUUGCAUCAAGGAAUCCUUUGGAGUUUUUAACUAUUGAUAUAAGAUUGUUUUAUGCCGCAUAUGGUGGUUCACUUGAAGCUAAUUUCGAGGAUGAGAGGAUGGUUAGAUAUUGUAAACUUAAGAAAAGUUUGUUUGGCUUUCUAUUUCAGACUGUUUGUUUAUUGUUUUGUGGAUAUACUCACCUUUUUGAUGAUUCUUUUAAUGUAGCUAUGAAGCAACUUGGGGAAGAGUCACUUCCUCCCAUUUAUUUGAUAUUUGAUUGUGUAAGAUUUCGAUUUACCAUUCCUUUGGUCAUCGAUUAAGGUCUCUAAUGGCGGUUUUUUGUGGGUUAGUUGAUUUCGUAGUGAAAAUCAUUUGGAAUGCCUAUUUGAAGUAUAUGAAUAUGUCACAGCUCAAGUAAACAUAGCAAUUGAGGUAUUAUCAUACUUAUUCUGUAAUGUGAUUUACUAUUCUAGGAGGUACAGUUUCAUUUUUGUGAAUAAGAUUAUCUAAAAAUUUGAUGUAUACAACUUUUAGGUAAACAUAUGAAGUCAAUCAUUUCUAUUAUCAGUAGUAAAUGAAUAAAAACCAACUAAUGCUUUUGAACGGCUAAGUUGUUUGGCUUGCUCACAGCACAUGCAAAAUUAUAAGGAGUUAGCUAGGGAUGAGCAUUUGGUACCGGGUACCGGUGCCGUACCAUACCGGUUAUUUUUGAUACCGGUACCCAUUUUUCUAUUUUUUGAUACCGGUAUUUUGGUUGAUUUACCGGUAAAUUCCGGUACCGUACCAGUUAUAUUCGGUACUGGUACCCAUUUUACAAUACUUAUACUUGGAGUUGGCUCACAAGAAAGAACAAUUGUGCACCCACACCCAUUCCUGUUGUAAUUGAAAACAAUAACAAGAAAAUUAUAAUCAGUCUUUAAAAAGAAGUCAAAUGGAUCAAAACUCUUAAAGGAGAUUUUGAUGACUAUUGUGCUAAUCAUAUAUUCAUGUAUGCUGAUCAUGAAUUUUUGGUUAUGUCUUCAUAGGACGUUGACUACUCCGGUUCAACUGAUCAAGUGUUUAAAGUCUAUAAAGAAUCAUGUUUUUAUAGCUUCUGAGUACCCUGUUGUGAUUACUCUUAAAGACCACCUUACUAUUGAUCUUCAGUCUAAAGCGGCUUCGGCCCGAUUGUACUUCCUGCUAUUUACUUUGUGGGACCAAAGUUGUCAAAGGAAAAUGUCGAAAGCUUUGAGUAUCAUUAUCUAUAUGAGCUAAGGAGCAUUCAGGAUCGGCUUCGGAAUGAGAUCCAUAGCUUCAAGAGAGAAUUUAAAGAAGGAAAACUAACUAUUGUAGAAUUGCAUUUGAGUAUAUAGAGACCGAGAAUGUGGAAGAAGAGGUUGUAAAGGAGAUGAUGACGAAGAUAAAGAACAACAGGAGCCGGAGAGUGGGUGUGUUGAAUGACCAGUCACAAAAUAGGUUCGGGUCGAAAUAUGUUACAUAUUUUUGCAACUAAAACAAUUCAAGUUGUGUUUAUAUGAGUUUAUCAAGGGUGAUCCACAUCCAAGGUAUCUUUAUUUUGCUAGAAAAAUAUCGUGUAUUAAGAACCUUAGAAUAAUUUUUAUAUGUACACGAAUCAGUUGAGAAAUUCAUGAUUGGGAGCUACAUUUUUCAGUUUAAUGUAAUUUAAUAUCUACAUAA
This is a long non-coding RNA of Helianthus annuus (common sunflower), 3760 nucleotides long. RefSeq lists it as uncharacterized. NCBI's taxonomy places the organism in Eukaryota, Viridiplantae, Streptophyta, Magnoliopsida, Asterales, Asteraceae. The transcript has 8 exons. The record is from RefSeq and is a predicted model, not a curated record.